This 84-nucleotide transfer RNA is filed under the name Acidimicrobiales bacterium. RNAcentral describes it as "tRNA-Leu". It matches the Rfam family "tRNA". From Rfam's summary of the family: Transfer RNA (tRNA) molecules are approximately 80 nucleotides in length. Their secondary structure includes four short double-helical elements and three loops (D, anti-codon, and T loops). The record is from RNAcentral. Lineage: Bacteria; Bacillati; Actinomycetota; Acidimicrobiia; Acidimicrobiales. RNAcentral also lists the same sequence under 1 other name.
GCCCGGGUGGUGGAAUCGGCAGACACGGAGGACUCAAAAUCCUCUGCCCGAGAGGGCGUGCGGGUUCAAGUCCCGCCCCGGGCA